This 496-nucleotide ribosomal RNA is filed under the name uncultured bacterium. RNAcentral's name for it is "partial 16S ribosomal RNA". It matches the Rfam family "Bacterial small subunit ribosomal RNA", at positions 29 to 507 of the family's 1533-position model. The record is from RNAcentral.
AUGAACGCUGGCGGCGUGCCUAAUCCAUGCAAGUCGAGCGAACAGACGAGGAGCUUGCUCCUCUGACGUUAGCGGCGGACGGGUGAGUAACACGUGGAUAACCUACCUAUAAGACUGGGAUAACUUCGGGAAACCGGAGCUAAUACCGGAUAAUAUAUUGAACCGCAUGGUUCAAUAGUGAAAGCCGGUUUUGCUGUCACUUAUAGAUGGAUCCGCGCCGCAUUAGCUAGUUGGUAAGGUAACGGCUUACCAAGGCAACGAUGCGUAGCCGACCUGAGAGGAUGAUCGGCCACACUGGAACUGAGACACGGUCCAGACUCCUACGGGAGGCAGCAGUAGGGAAUCUUCCGCAAUGGGCGAAAGCCUGACGGAGCAACGCCGCGUGAGUGAUGAAGGUCUUCGGAUCGUAAAACUCUGUUAUUAGGGAAGAACAAAUGUGUAAGUAACUAUGCACGUCUUGACGGUACCUAAUCAGAAAGCCACGGCUAACUACGUG